This 253-nucleotide ribosomal RNA is filed under the name uncultured bacterium. RNAcentral describes it as "partial 16S ribosomal RNA". It matches the Rfam family "Bacterial small subunit ribosomal RNA", at positions 524 to 776 of the family's 1533-position model. The record is from RNAcentral.
GACGUAGGAUGCGAGCGUUGUCCGGAUUUAUUGGGCGUAAAGAGUUCGUAGGCGGUUCGUUAAGUUCGAUGUUAAAGAUCGGGGCCCAACCCCGGGACUGCAUUGAAUACUGGCGGACUGGAGUGCAGUAGAGGCAAGUGGAAUUCCCAGUGUAGCGGUGAAAUGCGUAGAUAUGACAUAGAACACCAAUUGCGAAGGCAGCUGGCUACACAAUUAUUGACACUGAGGCUCGAAAGCGUGGGGAUCAAACAGG